This 2902-nucleotide ribosomal RNA is filed under the name Escherichia coli 3-105-05_S1_C1. Its description in RNAcentral is "bacterial LSU rRNA". It matches the Rfam family "Bacterial large subunit ribosomal RNA". The record is from RNAcentral. RNAcentral also lists the same sequence under 2 other names. Lineage: Bacteria; Pseudomonadati; Pseudomonadota; Gammaproteobacteria; Enterobacterales; Enterobacteriaceae.
UAAGCGACUAAGCGUACACGGUGGAUGCCCUGGCAGUCAGAGGCGAUGAAGGACGUGCUAAUCUGCGAUAAGCGUCGGUAAGGUGAUAUGAACCGUUAUAACCGGCGAUUUCCGAAUGGGGAAACCCAGUGUGUUUCGACACACUAUCAUUAACUGAAUCCAUAGGUUAAUGAGGCGAACCGGGGGAACUGAAACAUCUAAGUACCCCGAGGAAAAGAAAUCAACCGAGAUUCCCCCAGUAGCGGCGAGCGAACGGGGAGCAGCCCAGAGCCUGAAUCAGUGUGUGUGUUAGUGGAAGCGUCUGGAAAGACGCGCGAUACAGGGUGACAGCCCCGUACACAAAAAUGCACAUGCUGUGAGCUCGAUGAGUAGGGCGGGACACGUGGUAUCCUGUCUGAAUAUGGGGGGACCAUCCUCCAAGGCUAAAUACUCCUGACUGACCGAUAGUGAACCAGUACCGUGAGGGAAAGGCGAAAAGAACCCCGGCGAGGGGAGUGAAAAAGAACCUGAAACCGUGUACGUACAAGCAGUGGGAGCACGCUUAGGCGUGUGACUGCGUACCUUUUGUAUAAUGGGUCAGCGACUUAUAUUCUGUAGCAAGGUUAACCGAAUAGGGGAGCCGAAGGGAAACCGAGUCUUAACUGGGCGUUAAGUUGCAGGGUAUAGACCCGAAACCCGGUGAUCUAGCCAUGGGCAGGUUGAAGGUUGGGUAACACUAACUGGAGGACCGAACCGACUAAUGUUGAAAAAUUAGCGGAUGACUUGUGGCUGGGGGUGAAAGGCCAAUCAAACCGGGAGAUAGCUGGUUCUCCCCGAAAGCUAUUUAGGUAGCGCCUCGUGAAUUCAUCUCCGGGGGUAGAGCACUGUUUCGGCAAGGGGGUCAUCCCGACUUACCAACCCGAUGCAAACUGCGAAUACCGGAGAAUGUUAUCACGGGAGACACACGGCGGGUGCUAACGUCCGUCGUGAAGAGGGAAACAACCCAGACCGCCAGCUAAGGUCCCAAAGUCAUGGUUAAGUGGGAAACGAUGUGGGAAGGCCCAGACAGCCAGGAUGUUGGCUUAGAAGCAGCCAUCAUUUAAAGAAAGCGUAAUAGCUCACUGGUCGAGUCGGCCUGCGCGGAAGAUGUAACGGGGCUAAACCAUGCACCGAAGCUGCGGCAGCGACGCUGAUGCGUUGUUGGGUAGGGGAGCGUUCUGUAAGCCUGUGAAGGUGUGCUGUGAGGCAUGCUGGAGGUAUCAGAAGUGCGAAUGCUGACAUAAGUAACGAUAAAGCGGGUGAAAAGCCCGCUCGCCGGAAGACCAAGGGUUCCUGUCCAACGUUAAUCGGGGCAGGGUGAGUCGACCCCUAAGGCGAGGCCGAAAGGCGUAGUCGAUGGGAAACAGGUUAAUAUUCCUGUACUUGGUGUUACUGCGAAGGGGGGACGGAGAAGGCUAUGUUGGCCGGGCGACGGUUGUCCCGGUUUAAGCGUGUAGGCUGGUUUUCCAGGCAAAUCCGGAAAAUCAAGGCUGAGGCGUGAUGACGAGGCACUACGGUGCUGAAGCAACAAAUGCCCUGCUUCCAGGAAAAGCCUCUAAGCAUCAGGUAACAUCAAAUCGUACCCCAAACCGACACAGGUGGUCAGGUAGAGAAUACCAAGGCGCUUGAGAGAACUCGGGUGAAGGAACUAGGCAAAAUGGUGCCGUAACUUCGGGAGAAGGCACGCUGAUAUGUAGGUGAAGUCCCUCGCGGAUGGAGCUGAAAUCAGUCGAAGAUACCAGCUGGCUGCAACUGUUUAUUAAAAACACAGCACUGUGCAAACACGAAAGUGGACGUAUACGGUGUGACGCCUGCCCGGUGCCGGAAGGUUAAUUGAUGGGGUUAGCCGCAAGGCGAAGCUCUUGAUCGAAGCCCCGGUAAACGGCGGCCGUAACUAUAACGGUCCUAAGGUAGCGAAAUUCCUUGUCGGGUAAGUUCCGACCUGCACGAAUGGCGUAAUGAUGGCCAGGCUGUCUCCACCCGAGACUCAGUGAAAUUGAACUCGCUGUGAAGAUGCAGUGUACCCGCGGCAAGACGGAAAGACCCCGUGAACCUUUACUAUAGCUUGACACUGAACAUUGAGCCUUGAUGUGUAGGAUAGGUGGGAGGCUUUGAAGUGUGGACGCCAGUCUGCAUGGAGCCGACCUUGAAAUACCACCCUUUAAUGUUUGAUGUUCUAACGUUGACCCGUAAUCCGGGUUGCGGACAGUGUCUGGUGGGUAGUUUGACUGGGGCGGUCUCCUCCUAAAGAGUAACGGAGGAGCACGAAGGUUGGCUAAUCCUGGUCGGACAUCAGGAGGUUAGUGCAAUGGCAUAAGCCAGCUUGACUGCGAGCGUGACGGCGCGAGCAGGUGCGAAAGCAGGUCAUAGUGAUCCGGUGGUUCUGAAUGGAAGGGCCAUCGCUCAACGGAUAAAAGGUACUCCGGGGAUAACAGGCUGAUACCGCCCAAGAGUUCAUAUCGACGGCGGUGUUUGGCACCUCGAUGUCGGCUCAUCACAUCCUGGGGCUGAAGUAGGUCCCAAGGGUAUGGCUGUUCGCCAUUUAAAGUGGUACGCGAGCUGGGUUUAGAACGUCGUGAGACAGUUCGGUCCCUAUCUGCCGUGGGCGCUGGAGAACUGAGGGGGGCUGCUCCUAGUACGAGAGGACCGGAGUGGACGCAUCACUGGUGUUCGGGUUGUCAUGCCAAUGGCACUGCCCGGUAGCUAAAUGCGGAAGAGAUAAGUGCUGAAAGCAUCUAAGCACGAAACUUGCCCCGAGAUGAGUUCUCCCUGACUCCUUGAGAGUCCUGAAGGAACGUUGAAGACGACGACGUUGAUAGGCCGGGUGUGUAAGCGCAGCGAUGCGUUGAGCUAACCGGUACUAAUGAACCGUGAGGCUUAACCU